This 476-nucleotide ribosomal RNA is filed under the name uncultured Glomus. Its description in RNAcentral is "SSU rRNA". It matches the Rfam family "Eukaryotic small subunit ribosomal RNA", at positions 569 to 1050 of the family's 1831-position model. The record is from RNAcentral. Lineage: Eukaryota; Fungi; Glomeromycota; Glomeromycetes; Glomerales; Glomeraceae.
AGCAGCCGCGGUAAUUCCAGCUCCAAUAGCGUAUAUUAAAGUUGUUGCAGUUAAAAAGCUCGUAGUUGAAUUUCGGGAUCAUCAGGUUGGUCGUGCCUCUGGUAUGUACUGAUUUCGAUGGUCCCUCCUUCUUGAAGAGCCGUAAUGCCAUUAAUUUGGUGUUGCGGGGAAUCAGGACUGUUACUUUGAAAAAUUAGAGUGUUUAAAGCAGGCAAUCGCUUGAAUACAUUAGCAUGGAAUAAUGAAAUAGGACGUUCGAUCCUAUUUUGUUGGUUUCUAGGAUUGACGUAAUGAUUAAUAGGGAUAGUUGGGGGCAUUAGUAUUCAAUUGUCAGAGGUGAAAUUCUUGGAUUUAUUGAAGACUAACUACUGCGAAAGCAUUUGCCAAGGAUGUUUUCAUUAAUCAAGAACGAAAGUUAGGGGAUCGAAGACGAUCAGAUACCGUCGUAGUCUUAACCAUAAACUAUGCCGACUAGG